ACGCUCGACACCUACGUGAGGCAGCAGUGGGGAAUAUUGCACAAUGGGGGAAACCCUGAUGCAGCAACGCCGCGUGAAGGAAGACGGUUUUCGGAUUGUAAACCUCUGUUCUUAGUGAAGAUAGUGACGGUAGCUAAGGAGCAAGCCACGGCUAACUACGUGCCAGCAGCCUCGGUAAUCUGAGCGGGCUGGCAAGGC
Molecule: ribosomal RNA, 198 nt
Filed under: uncultured bacterium
Lineage: Bacteria
Description: partial 16S ribosomal RNA
Rfam family: Bacterial small subunit ribosomal RNA
Source: RNAcentral